CUCCUGAACUGCAAACCCACGAAUUCACCAACUCCCGAACUGCAACCAAGGGAAUACUCAAAACUCCCGAACUGCAUACCAAGGGAAUACUCGAAACUCCCGAACUGGAGACACACGAAUAGCUGCUAGAAGACGAACAGGAAAAGCCCCCAAGCGGCUUACACUCCUGGCAAUCAGUCUCUAACAGCAUACAGUAAAUCCUCCCCCAAUAAUGAGACGACACUUCACUUUGAGGGUUAAGCAGGAACUCAUUUACUGGGGCUAACUGCCCGGCUUUUAUGCAGGUCUCCCACCUGGUGGAGACUCCCCUAGGGGACCAG
Molecule: non-coding RNA, 320 nt
Organism: Pelobates cultripes (western spadefoot toad)
Lineage: Eukaryota; Metazoa; Chordata; Amphibia; Anura; Pelobatidae
Source: the annotation of a GenBank genome assembly